This 72-nucleotide transfer RNA is filed under the name Bos taurus (domestic cattle). It matches the Rfam family "tRNA". Rfam says of the family: Transfer RNA (tRNA) molecules are approximately 80 nucleotides in length. Lineage: Eukaryota; Metazoa; Chordata; Mammalia; Artiodactyla; Bovidae. RNAcentral also lists the same sequence under 2 other names. The record is from Rfam by way of RNAcentral.
UCCCUAGUGGUCCAGUGGUUAAGACUCUGUCUUCCGAUGCAGGUGACACAGGUUCGAUCCCUGGUUGGGGAA